This 365-nucleotide ribosomal RNA is filed under the name uncultured eukaryote. RNAcentral's name for it is "partial 18S ribosomal RNA". It matches the Rfam family "Eukaryotic small subunit ribosomal RNA", at positions 592 to 976 of the family's 1831-position model. The record is from RNAcentral.
CAAUAGCGUAUAUUAACGUUGUUGCAGUUAAAAAGCUCGUAGUUGGAUUUCUGGAGGGAGCGUCGGCCCGUAUUUACGAGUGCGUGACGUCUCUGUCCAUCCUUGCGGGAAGGCACGGCAUUGAUUUGUUGUGUCGGAUCGCAUCAUUUACUGUGAAAAAAUUAGAGUGUUCAAAGCAGGCUUUCGCUUGAAUACAUUAGCAUGGAAUAAUAAGAUAGGACUUUGGUGCUAUUUUGUUGGUUGAGCCUAAAGUAAUGAUUAAUAGGAUAGUUGGGGGCACCUGUAUUGCGUUGUCAGAGGUGAAAUUCUUGGAUUUACGCAAGACAAACAGCUGCGAAAGCGUCUGCCAAGGAUGUUUUCAUUAA